UACGGAGGGUCCGAGCGUUAUCCGGACUCAUUGGGUUUAAAGGGUCCGUCGGCGGGACAUUAAGUCAGGGGUGAAAUGUUGCAGCUCAACUGCAGAAUGGCCUUUGAUACUGGUGUUCUUGAGUUAUGUUGCUGUGGUCGGAACAUGUGGUGUAGCGGUGAAAUGCAUAGAUAUCACAUAGAACGCCGAUUGCGAAGGCACGUCACAAAGCAUAUACUGACGCUGAGGGACGAAAGCGUGGGGAGCGAACGGG
This 253-nucleotide ribosomal RNA is filed under the name uncultured bacterium. RNAcentral describes it as "partial 16S ribosomal RNA". It matches the Rfam family "Bacterial small subunit ribosomal RNA", at positions 524 to 776 of the family's 1533-position model. The record is from RNAcentral.